RNAcentral lists this ribosomal RNA (250 nucleotides) under uncultured bacterium. RNAcentral's name for it is "partial 16S ribosomal RNA". It matches the Rfam family "Bacterial small subunit ribosomal RNA", at positions 355 to 602 of the family's 1533-position model. The record is from RNAcentral.
GGAUGAAUAUUGCGCAAUGGAGGCAACUCUGACGCAGCCAUGCCGCGUGCAGGAAGAAGGCGCUACGCGUUGUAAACUGCUUUUAUUCGGGAAGAAACCCCUCGACGUGUCGAGGGUUGACGGUACCGGAGGAAUAAGCACCGGCUAACCUCGUGCCAGCAGCCGCGGUAAUACGAAGGGUGCAAGCGUUAUCCGGAUUCAUUGGGUUUAAAGGGUGCGUAGGCGGAGCGUUAAGUCAGUGGUGAAAUCC